Molecule: non-coding RNA, 85 nt
Organism: Massariosphaeria phaeospora
Lineage: Eukaryota; Fungi; Ascomycota; Dothideomycetes; Pleosporales
Source: the annotation of a GenBank genome assembly
GGCCCUAUGGCGCAAUGGUAGCGCGUCGGAUUCCAGAGAUCUCGGAUUUACCCGAAGGUUUUGUGUUCAAAUCACAAUGGGGUCA